UCCCUGGUGGUCCAGGGGCUAAGACUGCAUACUCCCAAUGUAGGGACCUGGGUUCAAUCCCUAGCCAGGGAG
Molecule: transfer RNA, 72 nt
Filed under: Ovis aries (sheep)
Lineage: Eukaryota; Metazoa; Chordata; Mammalia; Artiodactyla; Bovidae
Rfam family: tRNA
About the family: Transfer RNA (tRNA) molecules are approximately 80 nucleotides in length. Their secondary structure includes four short double-helical elements and three loops (D, anti-codon, and T loops).
Source: Rfam by way of RNAcentral